UGGGGAAUAUUGGGCAAUGGAGGAAACUCUGACCCAGCGACGCCGCGUGAGGGAUGAAGGCCUUCGGGUUGUAAACCUCUUUCGACGGGAACGAAAUUGACGGUACCCGUAGAAGAAGCGCCGGCCAACUACGUGCCAGCAGCCGCGGUAAUACGUAGGGCGCGAGCGUUGUCCGGAUUUAUUGGGCGUAAAGAGCUCGUAGGUGGUUUGUCGCGUUGUUCGUGAAAUCUCACGGCUUAACUGUGAGCG
This 249-nucleotide ribosomal RNA is filed under the name uncultured Mycobacterium sp. RNAcentral's name for it is "partial 16S ribosomal RNA". It matches the Rfam family "Bacterial small subunit ribosomal RNA", at positions 355 to 621 of the family's 1533-position model. Lineage: Bacteria; Bacillati; Actinomycetota; Actinomycetes; Mycobacteriales; Mycobacteriaceae. The record is from RNAcentral.